GAAAUUGAGAAGUGGUACAAAGCAGAAGGAGAAGAGUUGAGCAGCAGCUGAUGUGCUUGGGAAUUAGGUGCCCUCUGAGCCUGUGCCUGUCCACUGCUGCCUUGAACCCAGCCGUGCACAUAUAAGAAGUGGAAAAACAUCCAAGCAACAUUUCUGCAAUCCUUGGUAGUAAUCUAACUCCAGUCCUCUCUGGAAGUCACCCUGACCAUAGAGAAUGGGUUUGAAAGGAAUCCUGAGGGCACUUCUAUGAUGCUAAAUCAGAGGGCCAGAGAAAUCAGCUGAAGCACUGGAACAGGCUGGUCCAUCCUGCAUCAGGCGCCGUCAUCGUGGAGUUCUUCUGGCAGCAGAGACUGCAGAGAGCUGAGAAAGGAUGAUCACACGUGUGACACAGCAUGGGAUGGAGCACAUUUAGCUGCUGGAUUCCCAAAUGGGGAGUGUGAGUUCCAUUAAUGCCUGAAGCAUCCCAGCAGUGCCUGCAUGCCCUUCACCUCCAGGUCAGCAGUAAUUGCUUUGCUGGGCUUGGCUGCACAGCAAAGCACACUGUGACAGUGAGCAGCACUUUUCUGGUGAGGAAAGCUCAGGCAUUUAACCAGCUGAGCACAAAUCUCCACUGGCAACUUGUGAAAUUUGCAUUUUCCCUCCCAUUCCGUGUCCAGGGAUACAGCACUGGGAUGCUGCAGAAGCCUCUUGUGGGUCACUGGGCACUCUGCAGUUAUAAAGCACUUUCUUCAGUCUGUCCAUUUAUUGUGCCAUCUUCAUCUUGAUGAAGCUUCAGCUUUCCAUAGUGAGCAUAAAAUAUUAAACUCAA
This is a non-coding RNA of Cyanistes caeruleus (blue tit), 808 nucleotides long. Lineage: Eukaryota; Metazoa; Chordata; Aves; Passeriformes; Paridae. The record is from RefSeq and is a predicted model, not a curated record.